UGCUAUUUGUUAUCUACAAACCAUAAUAGUAAAUAUGUAAAAAAUGUACUUUUCUUUAUCUAAUUGAUAGUUUAGCAUGUGCAAGGAUAAGAUUGUGGAGCAAAGAACAGCUAAGUGUGUAAGAGAACUUGCAUCCGUAUGACUUUCCCUUUGUUUUUGCAGGAUCGUUUAUUUAUUUGGAGGCACAGCGCCCCCCCGGGGUGGCCAAGCUUGGAAGUCCUGUUCUUACAAAAUUGCUCACUCCCACUACCCCAUGUCAGGUGCAGUUUUGGUAUCAUUUGUCUCAACAUUCAAAUCUCUCAGUUUUUACAAGAACGUCUCUAGAUGGAAACUUGCAAAAGCAAGGCAAAAUAAUCAGAUUCUCCGAAUCUCAGUGGAGCCAUGCAAAAAUUGAUCUCAUUGCAGAAGCGGGAGAAUCUACUCUACCUUUUCAGUUAAUUUUGGAAGCUACUGUUUUGUCAUCAAAUGCUACCGUUGCUCUAGAUGACAUCAGUGUGUCCCAGGAAUGUGAAAUUUCCUAUAAAUCACUACCAAGGACCAGUACACAAAGCAAGUGUAAGUUUCUCCUUGUCGUUGUUGCUGUUUUAAACAUUGAAUUAAGCUCUUCUCAGUAUCAAAAUAUAAAAUGUAUUAGAGUCACGAAUACCUAAUACAGGGUGUGGAUUAUAUCACCUGUU
Pan troglodytes (chimpanzee) is the source of this 677-nucleotide long non-coding RNA. RefSeq lists it as uncharacterized. The transcript has 3 exons. Lineage: Eukaryota; Metazoa; Chordata; Mammalia; Primates; Hominidae. The record is from RefSeq and is a predicted model, not a curated record.